Pan troglodytes (chimpanzee) is the source of this 52-nucleotide microRNA precursor. It matches the Rfam family "mir-1302 microRNA precursor family". NCBI's taxonomy places the organism in Eukaryota, Metazoa, Chordata, Mammalia, Primates, Hominidae. The record is from Rfam.
AUUUUAGUAUAAGUAUGUCCUAUAAAAUAUUUGAGGCAUACUUAUACUAAAA